UCGAUUUGGAGUUUGUUGCCCUGAGUGAUGGGCUCCGAAGCUAACGCGAUAAAUCGACCGCCUGGGGAGUACGGCCGCAAGGUUAAAACUCAAAUGAAUUGACGGGGGCCCGCACAAGCGGUGGAGCAUGUGGUUUAAUUCGAUGCAACGCGAAGAACCUUACCUGGUCUUGACAUCCACAGAAUCUUGCAGAGAUGCGAGAGUGCCUUCGGGAACUGUGAGACAGGUGCUGCAUGGCUGUCGUCAGCUCGUGUUGUGAAAUGUUGGGUUAAGUCCCGCAACGAGCGCAACCCUUAUCCUUUGUUGCCAUCGGUUAGGCCGGGAACUCAAAGGAGACUGCCGUUGAUAAAGCGGAGGAAGGUGGGGACGACGUCAAGUCAUCAUGGCCCUUACGACCAGGGCUACACACGUGCUACAAUGGCGUAUACAAAGGGAUGCGACCUCGCGAGAGCAAGCGGACCUCAUAAAGUACGUCUAAGUCCGGAUUGGAGUCUGCAACUCGACUCCAUGAAGUCGGAAUCGCUAGUAAUCGUGAAUCA
RNAcentral lists this ribosomal RNA (539 nucleotides) under uncultured Gammaproteobacteria bacterium. RNAcentral's name for it is "bacterial SSU rRNA". It matches the Rfam family "Bacterial small subunit ribosomal RNA", at positions 812 to 1351 of the family's 1533-position model. Lineage: Bacteria; Pseudomonadati; Pseudomonadota; Gammaproteobacteria. The record is from RNAcentral.